Long non-coding RNA from Populus trichocarpa (black cottonwood), 2623 nucleotides. RefSeq lists it as uncharacterized. NCBI's taxonomy places the organism in Eukaryota, Viridiplantae, Streptophyta, Magnoliopsida, Malpighiales, Salicaceae. The record is from RefSeq and is a predicted model, not a curated record. The transcript has 4 exons.
UAUAUUUCCUAUUGUAUAUAUCAAACACUAACCGCAACUCAAACCUCUCAUCAAUUUGAUUUCCAAUAUUUGCUUCGAUUUUUAUCUGACAAUUCACAAAUGGCUUCUUCAAGUCAUCGCCAAAGGCAACUGUCACUCAUCACUCCUCGUGAUAAUCACUCUCAUGGCUGCAUAACCCAGAAGAUGAAAACCUCAACUUCCAUAGAGGAUUCAAAGAAAAAGGUGACCAUAACCACCGAGACGACGCACAAGCACCGGCCUAUAUCAAAGGGAAAUCGUAUUGCCCUUGAACAAGUAGUCGUCAACCAAAAAAAGAAGACUACCAUCGACAAACAGAGGCUAGUCGUUAGGGAGGAGAAGCAUGAGGUCAGAGAAAAGAAGAUCGUGAGCUCCUACACUACAGUAGAGAAGGAGAAGAAGCGAAUCCCGCACAAGCAUAGAAGCGGUGGCACUUUAGAAGUCACCUUCAAAACAAAAUUUUGACAUUAUCAUCUCUCCGUUAUCGAAGCCAUCGCAAACUUGAAGUUCCAGAAUUUCUCUGGUGGGGUGCACGUCAGAAGGUAACUUGCAUGUAUAACUGACAAAAUUAUGCCGAUGUAGAACGUUUUUUUUUCUUUUUUGUUAAAUAUGUAUUUCCCUAUGGUACGUUUCCCUUGUUAUCAAUAUCCCCCCUGACCUUAAAAUAAAAGGGUUCUUCUUACAUUGUGUGUGUUUAAUUGAGGAUUAAUCCUCUUCAGGCAAUAUAUGUACCAGGUUUGAUGUGUGGAUUGUAUACCUAUGAUUUGCGUGUCUGUUAAUUAAUCAGCAGAGAAUUGAAAAGAAAAAGAAAAAUAAAAAGAAAAGCAUCUAACCAAUUCCCCGAGAAGGUUACUGAGGUAUUGGCUCAUCUGAUAAUAUAUAGAUCCGCUUUUUAAAUUAUUAUCUCGUAUUAACGUUUGAAUUGUUCUACAAGAAAAUAAAAUUCUCUUCAGUUUAGAUGUGAAUAAUUUUAGAGAAAAAUCUGACAAGGGAAUAGUUUGCUCUUAAAAAUAAAAACACUAGCUCAAGUUCAUACCCAGUUAAAAGGCCCAAAAAAAUGAGUCCUUGAGAAACUUUCAAGGAAGAAUGGAGGAUUACUGGAGGAACGAGGCAUCUGCCAUGGGAAAACCAAACAUUCAAGAUAUCGGCCAUUGCAAACCAGGUGUACUUGAGUUGGAAAAAAAGGCACAGUAGACCUCAAAUCAUAACCGUCAUUACAAACUCAAUACAUGUGUUAUUGGGAUUUCACCCUUUUCUUUUGGGAUGAGAAAACCAUCAAGUUGUUACACCAUCAUAAUCAUUGAUGAAGAGGCUCGUAAAAUACUCUUGGUUUAUUCCAUUCGUCCGUUGUGGGGAGAAUGAAGAACAGCGUGGCAGAUGCUCUUUUUGUGAGCGCGCUCCCCGUGCCAAAUCUAUAGAAAGAGAUUACAAGAGCAUGAAAUGUAGGAUCUGAGGACUAAGAUCCCCAAAAGUCUUCUGGAGAAAAUGGCAUCACACCAAUCACAGAACCAAACAGCACAUUAGCAGCUAACUUGGCCACAGCGGAGAUAAUUUUCCUCCUCUUACUCCUCCUCCGACCUUGAUUGCCAUUGUGGGCCUGGUAGGCUGCAAGAUGGCCCAUUUGUCCUUGGUUAGGAACCAUCAUAGGAAAACCAUGGAAACCACCCAUAAGCUGUCGUGGGCCCAUGUUCGCUCGGGUGGAGCGAGAGGAAGAUGGGUUCUCGAGACAUGCCUCGAAUUGCGGUGAACCCAUAUAUGCCUCCAUGGACCGAGAUCGAGGUGGGCUCUCGAGCUCAUAAAAUGGCUCAUAAACGCAGUCCAAGUGCACAUCCACUUGGCAAAUAUCACAGCUGUAACGCCAUGAUGUGCAAGCAUCCCAACAAACCACGCACCAACUGGACAUCCUUGGCUGCCGAAGUGUCAAGGAAUGGUUAGGGAGGUGGCCGUGCUGCAACUUCGUCGGAAUUUGUGUGCAAACUGGAUGCACGUUGAAGUCACAAAAGCUACAUGUAUAGAAGAGCCCGUCAACACGCUCUUCACAUAUGUCACACACUUUGCGGGUGCCAACAAGGUUGACAAGUGUUAACUCAUGCACGUGCAAGCCAGAUCGGAGCUUUAUGGGACAAGUGGCACAAUAUUCAUGAAGAUCAAAAUUGCAAUAGUUGCACCUGUAGCUCUUCUCGUAACCACAGGUCCUGCAACCAUCGCAGAUGAAUUCACCCCCUACGGGUAGGUGGAACUCGAAAAGAGGAUGAAUGUGACUGGGGUGUCGUAACAUUUGAGGCCUUGGAGAUGAUGGCAUGCUCAUUCUCGCCAUCUCCCUGUCCUGAACUGAAACAAAAUGAAAGGAGGAAAGCAGCGAUUAAAGCUGUUGAAUUAAUGUGUUAUUGAGCAAUGGAGGAGAGCGGGGAACGGCUAGCUAUUUAAAGGCCUUCCAUUUCAUAAGAGGAUACUCAAGAGAGAAGACGAGAGUGAAAUCCAAUUAUUUUAUAGCGCAAUUAAACCCUGUUUUUAGAUACAGAAUCUUGCUUCAUGGAAUUAAUUAGUACUGUACAAGUUGAGGUUAUUAUAUUUCCAUCUUCAAUCAGUGAGUUGAACUCCUCCA